UACGUAGGGUGCGAGCGUUAAUCGGAAUUACUGGGCGUAAAGCGUGCGCAGGCGGUGAUGUAAGUCCGAUGUGAAAUCCCCGGGCUUAACCUGGGAACUGCAUUGGUGACUGCAUUGCUGGAGUAUGGCAGAGGGGGGUGGAAUUCCACGUGUAGCAGUGAAAUGCGUAGAGAUGUGGAGGAACACCGAUGGCGAAGGCAGCCCCCUGGGCCAAUACUGACGCUCAUGCACGAAAGCGUGGGGAGCAAACAGG
Molecule: ribosomal RNA, 253 nt
Filed under: uncultured bacterium
Lineage: Bacteria
Description: partial 16S ribosomal RNA
Rfam family: Bacterial small subunit ribosomal RNA
Source: RNAcentral